GACGAACGCUGGCGGCGUGCUUAACACAUGCAAGUCGAACGGGAUUUAGUAGACAGAAGCUUCGGUGGAAGAUUACUAAUGAGAGUGGCGAACGGGUGAGUAACGCGUGAGCAACCUGCCUAUGACAGUGGGAUAGCCUCGGGAAACCGGGAUUAAUACCGCAUAAAAUCGUAGAAACACAUGUUUUAACGGUCAAAGAUUUAUCGGUCAUAGAUGGGCUCGCGUCUGAUUAGCUAGUUGGUGAGAUAACAGCCCACUAAGGCGACGAUCAGUAGCCGGUCUGAGAGGAUGAACGGCCACAUUGGAACUGAGACACGGUCCAAACUCCUACGGGAGGCAGCAGUGGGGAAUAUUGCACAAUGGGGGAAACCCUGAUGCAGCGACGCCGCGUGAACGAAGAAGGUAUUCGUAUCGUAAAGUUCUGUCCUAUGGGAAGAUAAUGACAGUACCAUAAAAGAAAGCUCCGGCUAAAUACGUGCCAGCAGCCGCGGUAAUACGUAUGGAGCGAGCGUUGUCCGGAAUUAUUGGGCGUAAAGGGUACGCAGGCGGUUUAAUAAGUCGAAUGUUAAAGAUCGGGGCUCAACCCCGUAAAGCAUUGGAAACUGAUAAACUUGAGUAGUGGAGAGGAAAGUGGAAUUCCUAGUGUAGUGGUGAAAUACGUAGAUAUUAGGAGGAAUACCAGUAGCGAAGGCGACUUUCUGGACACAAACUGACGCUGAGGUACGAAAGCGUGGGGAGCAAACAGG
Molecule: ribosomal RNA, 746 nt
Filed under: uncultured Finegoldia sp.
Lineage: Bacteria; Bacillati; Bacillota; Tissierellia; Tissierellales; Peptoniphilaceae
Description: bacterial SSU rRNA
Rfam family: Bacterial small subunit ribosomal RNA
Source: RNAcentral